CACUCCUACGGGAGGCAGCAGUGGGGAAUUUUGGACAAUGGGCGAAAGCCUGAUCCAGCAAUGCCGCGUGUGUGAAGAAGGCCUUCGGGUUGUAAAGCACUUUUGUCCGGAAAGAAAUCCUUGGCUCUAAUACAGUCGGGGGAUGACGGUACCGGAAGAAUAAGCACCGGCUAACUACGUGCCAGCAGCCGCGGUAAUACGUAGGGUGCGAGCGUUAAUCGGAAUUACUGGGCGUAAAGCGUGCGCAGGCGGUUUGCUAAGACCGAUGUGAAAUCCCCGGGCUCAACCUGGGAACUGCAUUGGUGACUGGCAGGCUAGAGUAUGGCAGAGGGGGGUAGAAUUCCACGUGUAGCAGUGAAAUGCGUAGAGAUGUGGAGGAAUACCGAUGGCGAAGGCAGCCCCCUGGGCCAAUACUGACGCUCAUGCACGAAAGCGUGGGGAGCAAACAGGAUUAGAAACCCGAGUAGUCCCAUG
This 474-nucleotide ribosomal RNA is filed under the name uncultured organism. Its description in RNAcentral is "partial 16S ribosomal RNA". It matches the Rfam family "Bacterial small subunit ribosomal RNA", at positions 334 to 799 of the family's 1533-position model. The record is from RNAcentral.